This 104-nucleotide ribosomal RNA is filed under the name Acanthosepion pharaonis. Lineage: Eukaryota; Metazoa; Mollusca; Cephalopoda; Sepiida; Sepiidae. The record is from RNAcentral.
AUCACAUUGAAACACUGGUUCCUGUAUGAUCACUGAAGUUAAGCAACAUCAAGCCUGGUCAGUACCUAGAUGGGUGACUGCUUGCGAAUACCAGGUGCUGUAAU